AACGCACAUUGCGCCCCCUGGUAUUCCGGGGGGCAUGCCUGUCCGAGCGUCAUUACCGCCCUCAGGCCCGGCUUGUGUGUUGGGUCCCGUCCUCCAAUCCUGGGGGACGGGCCCGAAAGGCAGCGGCGGCACCGAGUCCGGUCCUCGAGCGUAUGGGGCUUUGUCACCCGCUCUGUAGGCCCGGCCGGCGUUUGCCAACCAACCCAAAUUUUUAUUCAGGUUGACCUCGGAUCAGGUAGGGAUACCCGCUGAACUUAA
RNAcentral lists this unclassified non-coding RNA (258 nucleotides) under uncultured Penicillium. RNAcentral describes it as "partial contains 5.8S ribosomal RNA, internal transcribed spacer 2, and large subunit ribosomal RNA". The stretch from base 1 to 52 matches the Rfam family "5.8S ribosomal RNA", at positions 103 to 154 of the family's 154-position model. The record is from RNAcentral. Lineage: Eukaryota; Fungi; Ascomycota; Eurotiomycetes; Eurotiales; Aspergillaceae.